Molecule: long non-coding RNA, 1173 nt
Organism: Marmota monax (woodchuck)
Lineage: Eukaryota; Metazoa; Chordata; Mammalia; Rodentia; Sciuridae
Exons: 3
Source: RefSeq, a predicted model, not a curated record
AUUCCAGCCGCGAGCGGCGCAGCGCCCAGGUGCAGAGCGCGAAAAGCCCAGGGAAGAAGAGGGAGCCCCAGGCCAGCGUCAGCAGCAUGGGUGCUUCGGGUCCUGCCGCCUAGCUCGGCACCGUUUGGCGUGGCUCAGAUGGAAGGGACUUUCUGGGAGGCAGACAGCAGUGAGGUUGGGAUCUGAGAACCUGAGUUCCAGUCCUGCCUCUGCUAUCCAUAAAUUGCCUGACAUGGAGCAAACAACUAAACUUUCCAUGUAAAAGAGAGUUCCUCCACCUGCCUCACAGGGCUGGGAGAGUUAGUUUUCGGCAGACACAACAUCUUUGUUUGUAUGUGGUGCUGAGGAUCGAACCCGGGCCGCACACAUGCCAGGCGAGCGUGCUACCGCUUGAGCCACAUCCCCAGCCCAAAAGGUAAAUUUUAAAAACACAACAUGCACAUAACAUUCUUUUGGUGUCAUCAUUUUUUAAAGUGUCAAGGCAUCACAUGAGUCCUUGGGAAGUAAUGCCUUUGAUUUUUCAAGGUGAUACUGUAAUAGGAUCUAACUCUGGGACGUUAAGAGUUGUAAGAACAGAGGCUGGGGUUGUGGCUCAGUGGUAGCGUGCUUGCCUAGCAUGUGUGACACACUGGGUUCGAUUCUCAGCACCACAUACAAAUAAAUAAAAUAAAGAUCCAUCAACAACUAAAAAAUAUUUUUUAAAAAGAGUUGUAAGAACAAAAGAAGACACUGGAACACAAGAGACAUUAAUGUCAGUCUCCUCACUCUACUGGCCUGCCGAUGGUGAAGACUAAGGAAAAACAUAUGGAAACAUUUAGCCAUGCACAAAGUACUAUGCAAAUCCACUGUGUUUUAUUAGCUCCUAAAAGCAUUCACUAUCAUGUACUGCGUGGAUUACUGUGUUUGUCCACUAAAUGCUAAAUUCUAAAGAUAACACAUAGAUAGGGCACAGGGGACGGAGGGGAAAGGAGGGAGGAUAGGGGUAGGAAAGAUGGUAGAAUGAGAUGGACAUCAUUACCCUAAGUACAUGUAUGAAGAACCAAAUGGUGUGACUCUACUUUGUGUACAACCAGAGACAUGAAAAAUUGUGCUGUAUAUGUGUAAUAUGAAUUGAAAUGCAUUCUGCUGUAAUAUAUGAUAAAUUAGAAUAAAUAAAUAAAUUUUAAAAAUAUG